AAGGUACGCCUGUUUGAGU
RNAcentral lists this ribosomal RNA (19 nucleotides) under Coleosporium montanum. RNAcentral's name for it is "partial 5.8S ribosomal RNA". Lineage: Eukaryota; Fungi; Basidiomycota; Pucciniomycetes; Pucciniales; Coleosporiaceae. The record is from RNAcentral.